UCCCUGGUCGCUCAGAGGUUAAAGCAUCUGCCUGCAAUGCACGAGACUCGGGUUCGAUCCCUGGGUUGGGAA
RNAcentral lists this transfer RNA (72 nucleotides) under Ovis aries (sheep). It matches the Rfam family "tRNA". From Rfam's summary of the family: Transfer RNA (tRNA) molecules are approximately 80 nucleotides in length. Their secondary structure includes four short double-helical elements and three loops (D, anti-codon, and T loops). The record is from Rfam by way of RNAcentral. Lineage: Eukaryota; Metazoa; Chordata; Mammalia; Artiodactyla; Bovidae.